CGUGACUGGGGUGAAGUCGUAACAAGGUAGCCGUAUCGGAAGGUGCGGCUGGAUCACCUCCUUUCUAGA
This 69-nucleotide ribosomal RNA is filed under the name Janthinobacterium sp. FT14W. Its description in RNAcentral is "partial 16S ribosomal RNA". It matches the Rfam family "Bacterial small subunit ribosomal RNA", at positions 1470 to 1533 of the family's 1533-position model. RNAcentral also lists the same sequence under 1 other name. Lineage: Bacteria; Pseudomonadati; Pseudomonadota; Betaproteobacteria; Burkholderiales; Oxalobacteraceae. The record is from RNAcentral.